Molecule: ribosomal RNA, 1228 nt
Filed under: Pseudarthrobacter oxydans
Lineage: Bacteria; Bacillati; Actinomycetota; Actinomycetes; Micrococcales; Micrococcaceae
Description: bacterial SSU rRNA
Rfam family: Bacterial small subunit ribosomal RNA
Source: RNAcentral
GGAUUAGUGGCGAACGGGUGAGUAACACGUGAGUAACCUGCCCUUAACUCUGGGAUAAGCCUGGGAAACUGGGUCUAAUACCGGAUAUGACUCCUCAUCGCAUGGUGGGGGGUGGAAAGCUUUUUGUGGUUUUGGAUGGACUCGCGGCCUAUCAGCUUGUUGGUGAGGUAAUGGCUUACCAAGGCGACGACGGGUAGCCGGCCUGAGAGGGUGACCGGCCACACUGGGACUGAGACACGGCCCAGACUCCUACGGGAGGCAGCAGUGGGGAAUAUUGCACAAUGGGCGCAAGCCUGAUGCAGCGACGCCGCGUGAGGGAUGACGGCCUUCGGGUUGUAAACCUCUUUCAGUAGGGAAGAAGCGAAAGUGACGGUACCUGCAGAAGAAGCGCCGGCUAACUACGUGCCAGCAGCCGCGGUAAUACGUAGGGCGCAAGCGUUAUCCGGAAUUAUUGGGCGUAAAGAGCUCGUAGGCGGUUUGUCGCGUCUGCCGUGAAAGUCCGGGGCUCAACUCCGGAUCUGCGGUGGGUACGGGCAGACUAGAGUGAUGUAGGGGAGACUGGAAUUCCUGGUGUAGCGGUGAAAUGCGCAGAUAUCAGGAGGAACACCGAUGGCGAAGGCAGGUCUCUGGGCAUUAACUGACGCUGAGGAGCGAAAGCAUGGGGAGCGAACAGGAUUAGAUACCCUGGUAGUCCAUGCCGUAAACGUUGGGCACUAGGUGUGGGGGACAUUCCACGUUUUCCGCGCCGUAGCUAACGCAUUAAGUGCCCCGCCUGGGGAGUACGGCCGCAAGGCUAAAACUCAAAGGAAUUGACGGGGGCCCGCACAAGCGGCGGAGCAUGCGGAUUAAUUCGAUGCAACGCGAAGAACCUUACCAAGGCUUGACAUGAACCGGAAACACCUGGAGACAGGUGCCCCGCUUGCGGUCGGUUUACAGGUGGUGCAUGGUUGUCGUCAGCUCGUGUCGUGAGAUGUUGGGUUAAGUCCCGCAACGAGCGCAACCUCGUUCUAUGUUGCCAGCACGUGAUGGUGGGGACUCAUAGGAGACUGCCGGGGUCAACUCGGAAGAAGGUGGGGACGACGUCAAAUCAUCAUGCCCCUUAUGUCUUGGGCUUCACGCAUGCUACAAUGGCCGGUACAAAGGGUUGCGAUACUGUGAGGUGGAGCUAAUCCCAAAAAGCCGGUCUCAGUUCGGAUUGGGGUCUGCAACUCGACCCCAUGAAGUCGGA